Molecule: ribosomal RNA, 254 nt
Filed under: uncultured bacterium
Lineage: Bacteria
Description: partial 16S ribosomal RNA
Rfam family: Bacterial small subunit ribosomal RNA
Source: RNAcentral
UACGAAGGGGGCUAGCGUUGCUCGGAAUCACUGGGCGUAAAGGGUGCGUAGGCGGGUCUUUAAGUCAGGGGUGAAAUCCUGGAGCUCAACUCCAGAACUGCCUUUGAUACUGGGAGACUUGGAGUCCGGGAGAGGUGAGUGGAACUGCGAGUGUAGAGGUGAAAUUCGUAGAUAUUCGCAAGAACACCAGUGGCGAAGGCGGCUCACUGGCCCGGUACUGACGCUGAGGUGCGAAAGCGUGGGGAGCAAACAGG